GUGGGGAAUAUUGGACAAUGGGGGGAACCCUGAUCCAGCCAUGCCGCGUGUGUGAAGAAGGCCUUUUGGUUGUAAAGCACUUUAAGCGAGGAGGAGGCUACCGAGAUUAAUACUCUUGGAUAGUGGACGUUACUCGCAGAAUAAGCACCGGCUAACUCUGUGCCAGCAGCCGCGGUAAUACAGAGGGUGCAAGCGUUAAUCGGAUUUACUGGGCGUAAAGCGCGCGUAGGUGGCCAAUUAAGUCAAAUGUGAAAUCCCCGAGCUUAACUUGGGAAUUGCAUUCGAUACUGGUUGGCUAGAGUAUGGGAGAGGAUGGUAGAAUUCCAGGUGUAGCGGUGAAAUGCGUAGAGAUCUGGAGGAAUACCGAUGGCGAAGGCAGCCAUCUGGCCUAAUACUGACACUGAGGUGCGAAAGCAUGGGGAGCAAACAGGAUUAGAUACCAGAGUAGUCC
RNAcentral lists this ribosomal RNA (451 nucleotides) under uncultured bacterium. RNAcentral's name for it is "partial 16S ribosomal RNA". It matches the Rfam family "Bacterial small subunit ribosomal RNA", at positions 354 to 796 of the family's 1533-position model. The record is from RNAcentral.